GCACUCUUAGCUCAGUUGGUAGAGCAACUGACUCUUAAUCAGUGGGUCUAGGGUUCGAGCCCCUAAGAGUGUA
Molecule: transfer RNA, 73 nt
Filed under: Prevotella sp.
Lineage: Bacteria; Pseudomonadati; Bacteroidota; Bacteroidia; Bacteroidales; Prevotellaceae
Also listed under: 1 other name
Description: tRNA-Lys
Rfam family: tRNA
About the family: Transfer RNA (tRNA) molecules are approximately 80 nucleotides in length. Their secondary structure includes four short double-helical elements and three loops (D, anti-codon, and T loops). Further hydrogen bonds mediate the characteristic L-shaped molecular structure. tRNAs have two regions of fundamental functional importance: the anti-codon, which is responsible for specific mRNA codon recognition, and the 3' end, to which the tRNAs corresponding amino acid is attached (by aminoacyl-tRNA synthetases). tRNAs cope with the degeneracy of the genetic code in two manners: having more than one tRNA (with a specific anti-codon) for a particular amino acid; and 'wobble' base-pairing, i.e. permitting non-standard base-pairing at the 3rd anti-codon position.
Source: RNAcentral